RNAcentral lists this long non-coding RNA (1299 nucleotides) under Sorghum bicolor (sorghum). Its description in RNAcentral is "long non-coding RNA (SBIC_LNC014530)". Lineage: Eukaryota; Viridiplantae; Streptophyta; Magnoliopsida; Poales; Poaceae. The record is from RNAcentral.
AUCCAGCUUGGGGGAGUUUCUCCCUGUUUUAUCAAGUAAGUUUUUAUUCGCUUAUCUUAUUUAUUCUUUUCAGUUUUAGUGUUUUAUUUAUUUCAUAAAAAAAUCUUCAAUAAAUAUUUUCUUGCUUUAAUUUACUGCAUUCUAUGAACAUGAAAACAAAAUAAAAAGAGUGUGUAGAUAAGUGUGCUUUAUUUAUCUGCUAAGUGUUAGUCUCUGGGAAAAUAAAAAGAUUAAAAAGAUGCACGAUGGAAAUGAUGAACAGUUGCUCUGUUUGCUUAUUUGCAAGUACCUAGCUUUCAAAUUAGAGUUCUCCCAAGAAUUACUAAAACCUGAAAUUUAAUAUCUAUGGGAGCAUGAGCCUAAAACUAAAGUCUAGGUAAGAGAAGGACAUGAUAUAAAGUUUGAGCUGCUGUUUAUCCUGUUUUUACUACACUAAGUUCUGGAGAUUUAUUUUGAAAACUUGAAGAUCACAUGAUGAGUUCCUAGCAUGACAAAAUUCCUACCACAGCCAUACUUGCUAUAACAUCUUUUGCUACAAAUAUUCACAUUGAGUUUGAUCGAGCUGUGUAGACCCUUAGGAGCUUUUCAUGUGGUUAAAUUAAGAUUCUCACUUGCACACAUCUACUACACCAUCCACCACCAUUCAUUAAAAUUGCUAAAAAUAUUAUCACUCAUUGUCCCAAGUGUUGUUAUUCUCUCUCUCCAAAAAGAUUCAAUGCAGAAGAGGCAUGGGUUAUGCAAAUAUAUGCGAGGAAAUAAAAAGGGGCAAGUGCCCGGAACCUCGAAAAAGAAAGAAAAAGUGUGAGACAAGAGGUAAAAAUGGACAAGUGUCCGGAGUAGAAUUAGGGGUACAAAGAUGCCCACCUGAGCGGAAAAAAUGGACAAGUGUCCUACAGUAGAAUUAGGGGUAUUUACUACCCACCUGAAAAAAAGAGAAAAUAAAAAGAUAGCCCAUGUUCUCCCAAAGCAAAGAUCAAGAGGAGGAGAGAUAGCAAUAUGAGGAGCAAUGAGAAGUAAUUUUUAUCAUUACUUAUAUUUUCACCAUUACUAUCAUUUACUCCACCACACAUGCACAUCUUGAUUUAAUUAUAUGUUGAGUUCCUUUGGAUCCUUGGCUCGAUUAGACAACAUAUGUAUGAGCUAUUCCCUUAGUUAUAGGUAAGUGACAUUUUUGGUAAGGAUCCACAAAUACCAUAUAAUACCAUAUAUAGAGAGAUUUGAGAGUAACAUAGCUGGGAACUCUGAGUUUUAUUUUUGAAAACGUAUGCAAAACUCCAGAACAAAGGUGAAGUAUAGACU